Molecule: RNA transcript, 1150 nt
Organism: Lycium barbarum (goji berry)
Lineage: Eukaryota; Viridiplantae; Streptophyta; Magnoliopsida; Solanales; Solanaceae
Exons: 4
Source: RefSeq, a predicted model, not a curated record
GAUCCCAAACUUUGACGGAGGGCAAAUUUAAACUAGGGAAAAGGGUCAAAUAUACCCCUGAACUUUGCGAAAAUGUCUAGAUAUGCCCUCCGUUUAAAGUUUGGCUCAUUUGUGCCCCUGCCGUCCAACUUUUGGCACAUAUAUACCCCCGAAGACGUUAAAUGCCUUGCUGGAUUUUCCCAACCUGUUAAUUUUUUUAAUUUUUUUUUAGAAAAAUCUGAAGUAGCCACAUGGCAUUUUAAUUUAAAAGAUCCUCCCAUUUAACCCACCCCUCCAAUACCCGACCCACAAAAUAACCUGACAUCGCCGGGUGAACCACCGCUCCUCCACCACAUCACCGGCCAUCUCACCUUCCUUGUCAAGUUUCAACCAUAGAAUCACCACCAAAACAGAGCAAAACCACGGCCAGAAACAACCAUCAAUGACGGCCGAUUCUCCAUCACCACCUGAAACCUCAUUGACACAGUCGUCAAUUUUCUUCUCCGGUUAAAGUAGAGGUAUUUCUAGUCGAGCUACGGUCCUAGUUCACUGAAGCAAAGUAACAAGCUACUUGAUAUUUUGAGAGAGGCAAAAGGCCCUUUGCAAGUGAAGUUACACAGACAGACAUCAGCUACAAAACUCUGUAUAUCAACUCGCAAAGAAAGGUUGAGAAUUUGACGGAGGAAAACUAUAAACAAGCCAUUGAUUUGAGCUACCGCUGUGGACAAGUUGAUGCAUACGAGUAUAUAAUAGGAAAUAUGAAGAAUGUGGUUGCCUUGUCAAAUGUAAUGAGAGUAACUGAUGCAGAGAUGAACUUGGCGGAAGGAACUGCUCCAGAUGCUCCUCCUUUGAAUGCUGGCACUGAACCUGAACCAUCUCGGACUACGAAGAACUCAUAGAAAGUGUGCUCCUCCCCUAGGAAGUGAAUGUUUUUUGACUGCCUGUCCUAAACUAAGUAGGCUAUCUAUUUAUUUGGUGCUUUUGGUAAAAUGUGUACAUAUAUGAUGAAACUAGCAACUCUGGUUGGUCUUUAGCCUGUUAAUUUUCACAGGCAGUAUCGGACGGUUUCUUAGCAGCUAGUAUGGACUCUUGUUGGUAAAGCUGGAAGUUGAUUUUGAAUGUAAUCUAUUGAUGUCUUACCCUUUUCAAUAAAUCAAACAAUUUAUGAUCA